GACGAACGCUGGCGGCGUGCUUAACACAUGCAAGUCGAACGGAAAGGCCCUGCUUUUGUGGGGUGCUCGAGUGGCGAACGGGUGAGUAACACGUGAGUAACCUGCCCUUGACUUUGGGAUAACUUCAGGAAACUGGGGCUAAUACCGGAUAGGAGCUCCUGCUGCAUGGUGGGGGUUGGAACGUUUCGGCGGUUGGGGAUGGACUCGCGGCUUAUCAGCUUGUUGGUGGGGUAGUGGCUUACCAAGGCUUUGACGGGUAGCCGGCCUGAGCGGGUGACCGGCCACAUUGGGACUGAGAUACGGCCCAGACUCCUACGGGAGGCAGCAGUGGGGAAUAUUGCACAAUGGGCGGAAGCCUGAUGCAGCAACGCCGCGUGCGGGAUGACGGCCUUCGGGUUGUAAACCGCUUGCGCCUGUGACGAAGCGUGAGUGACGGUAAUGGGUAAAGAAGCACCGGCUAACUACGUG
Molecule: ribosomal RNA, 468 nt
Filed under: uncultured bacterium
Lineage: Bacteria
Description: partial 16S ribosomal RNA
Rfam family: Bacterial small subunit ribosomal RNA
Source: RNAcentral